RNAcentral lists this ribosomal RNA (496 nucleotides) under Marinobacter sp. Its description in RNAcentral is "bacterial SSU rRNA". It matches the Rfam family "Bacterial small subunit ribosomal RNA", at positions 54 to 541 of the family's 1533-position model. The record is from RNAcentral. Lineage: Bacteria; Pseudomonadati; Pseudomonadota; Gammaproteobacteria; Pseudomonadales; Marinobacteraceae.
CAUGCAAGUCGAGCGGUACAGGGGGAGCUUGCUCCCCGCUGACGAGCGGCGGACGGGUGAGUAAUGCAUAGGAAACUGCCCAGUAGUGGGGGAUAGCCCGGGGAAACCCGGAUUAAUACCGCAUACGCCCUUUGGGGGAAAGCAGGGGAUCUUCGGACCUUGCGCUAUUGGAUGUGCCUAUGUCGGAUUAGCUAGUUGGUGGGGUAAGAGCCUACCAAGGCGACGAUCCGUAGCUGGUCUGAGAGGAUGAUCAGCCACAUCGGGACUGAGACACGGCCCGAACUCCUACGGGAGGCAGCAGUGGGGAAUAUUGGACAAUGGGGGCAACCCUGAUCCAGCCAUGCCGCGUGUGUGAAGAAGGCUUUCGGGUUGUAAAGCACUUUCAGUGAGGAGGAUAACCUUACGACUAAUACUCGUGAGGCUCUGCGUUACUCACAGAAUAAGCACCGGCUAACUCCGUGCCAGCUGCCGCGGUAAUACGGGAGGGUGCUAGCGU